This 457-nucleotide ribosomal RNA is filed under the name uncultured marine bacterium. RNAcentral describes it as "bacterial SSU rRNA". It matches the Rfam family "Bacterial small subunit ribosomal RNA", at positions 1 to 446 of the family's 1533-position model. The record is from RNAcentral.
UAGAGUUUGAUCAUGGCUCAGAAUGAACGCUGGCGGCGUGCUUAACACAUGCAAGUCGAACGAGAAAGUCUUUGCUUGCAAAGACGAGUAGAGUGGCGCACGGGUGAGUAACACGUAGAUAAUCUACCUUCAAACCUGGAAUAACUAUUCGAAAGGGUAGCUAAUACCGGAUAAAGUAUUUUAACAUAAGUUAAAUUAUGAAAGAUUGCCUCUUCUUGAAAGCAAUUGUUUGGGGAUGAGUCUGCGGACCAUUAGUUAGUUGGUGGGGUAAAGGCCUACCAAGACUGCGAUGGUUAGCUGGUCUGAGAGGAUGAUCAGUCACACUGGAACUGGAACACGGUCCAGACUCCUACGGGAGGCAGCAGUGAGGAAUUUUGCGCAAUGGGGGAAACCCUGACGCAGCAACGCCGCGUGAGUGAAGAAGGCCUUUGGGUCGUAAAGCUCUGUCAACUGGGAA